RNAcentral lists this long non-coding RNA (1017 nucleotides) under Piliocolobus tephrosceles (Ugandan red Colobus). RNAcentral's name for it is "lncRNA (ENSPTEG00000020256.1)". Lineage: Eukaryota; Metazoa; Chordata; Mammalia; Primates; Cercopithecidae. The record is from RNAcentral.
AUGACAUUAAUAAAAAAUGCUAUUAUUAGCUCAGAACAACAUUUACCAGGAUGUCAAGACACAGGUACAGCUAUAAUUUUAGGAAAAAAAGAUGAAAAUAUUAUUACCACGUAUGAUCAUAAAUAUUUAAACUUAGGUGUUUAUAAUGCAUAUAAAAAUAACAAUUUUCGUUAUAGCCAAUUAUCACCUAUAGAUAUGUUUAACGAAGUUAAUACAAAAAAUAAUUUACCAUGUCAAAUUGAGAUUUAUAAUAACAUUAAAAAAGAUGAAUAUAUUAAAAACAGUUAUAAAAAUAAUACAGAAAAUGUUAAUAAUAAUACUAAUCAAAUCGAACAUAGUGAUGGAGAUGUAAAACCACCUCAUAUGGAAGGACCAAAAUAUGAAUUAAUUUUUAUUGCUAAAGGAGGUGGAAGUGCCAAUAAAACAUUUUUACUACAACAAACAAAAAGUAUAUUAAAUAAAGAUGUAUUAUAUGAUUUUUUACUUGAUAAAAUUAAAGAAAUAGGUACUUCAGCAUGUCCUCCUUAUCAUCUUGCUAUAGUUAUCGGUGGAUUGUCAGCUGAAAUGAAUUUGAAAACUGUUAAAUUAGCAUCUUGUAGAUAUUUAGACAAUUUAAAAACGAAUGGGAAUAUAUAUGGUCAAGGAUUUCGUGAUAUAGUAAGUGAAAAAAUAUUAUUGGAAAAAGCACAAAGUCUAGGUAUAGGAGCGCAAUUUGGAGGAAAAUAUUUUGUGCAUGACGUUCGUGUAAUACGGUUACCAAGACACUCUGCUUCAUGUCCUAUAGGUAUAGGUGUAUCAUGUUCAGCUGAUAGACAAAUAAAAUGUAUAAUUAAUAAAAAUGGUGUUUUUAUGGAACAAUUAGAACAUAAUCCAAUACAAUUUUUACCAGAAAUAACUUUAAAUGAUUUACCAAACAAAGAUGAAGGAAUUAAAAUUAAUUUAAAUGAUGGUAUGAGUAAUAUAAUAAAAAAAAAUAUCAAAUUACCCAGUUUCGACAUUAUUAUUAUUAACAGGUAG